GAUGAACGCUAGCUACAGGCUUAACACAUGCAAGUCGAGGGGUAACGGGAGGAAAGCUUGCUUUCCUUGUCGACGGCCGGCGCACGGGUGAGUAACGCGUAUCCAACCUGCCCCCAACUAGGGAAUAACCUUGCGAAAGUAAGACUAAUACCCUAUAAUUUCCUCAGAUGUCAUCUGACGAGGAAUAAAGAUUUAUCGGUUGUGGAUGGGGAUGCGUCUGAUUAGCUUGUUGGCGGGGUAACGGCCCACCAAGGCAACGAUCAGUAGGGGUUCUGAGAGGAAGGUCCCCCACAUUGGAACUGAGACACGGUCCAAACUCCUACGGGAGGCAGCAGUGAGGAAUAUUGGUCAAUGGGCGGAAGCCUGAACCAGCCAAGUAGCGUGCAGGAUGACGGCCCUAUGGGUUGUAAACUGCUUUUAUACAGGAAUAAAGUUAGCCACGUGUGGUUAUUUGUAGGUACUGUAUGAAUAAGGACCGGCUAAUUCCGUGCCAGCAGCCGCGGUAA
Molecule: ribosomal RNA, 506 nt
Filed under: uncultured bacterium
Lineage: Bacteria
Description: partial 16S ribosomal RNA
Rfam family: Bacterial small subunit ribosomal RNA
Source: RNAcentral